Molecule: long non-coding RNA, 1181 nt
Organism: Pseudophryne corroboree (corroboree frog)
Lineage: Eukaryota; Metazoa; Chordata; Amphibia; Anura; Myobatrachidae
Exons: 2
Source: RefSeq, a predicted model, not a curated record
UUUAGAAAGUUGACUCCAAAGUGAUAAAUUGUGAGAUGCAUAAAAUUGUCUAAUGCGUGAGGACACGCAUCUUUUCAGCAGGGUUGUAUGUAAUACCCCACUAUGUGAGUUAUCCUUUCUGAAAUUGUUCCUCACGCUACAGCACAUAAAUUAUAUACAGUAUGUAAUUGUGGAGACUGAUAGCAAUUCCCAGCAGCCUCUGCAGCUGCUCAGAGGGUCAGAUGUAUAUCACAUGACCAGUGUCAGGUGGUACAGCAAGGGACAGUUGAAAAGUGAGCGGCAGUUGGACAGAGGGGCCCUGAGGUAAACGCUGUGGGAGACUGACUGUGCUGUGAGGAGACAGCUGGCAGCGCAAGUGAGUGAGAGCAGAUUUUGAGCUGUGACCCUCUCAGGAGUCCUGGUGACGUCGGGCGUAAGGGGUCACUGAUCCGCCCCAGAGGGCAAGUAGAUGUAGAGCCCAUCGACCGAGGACCAGUACAGAGGAAUGGCCUGCUCCAAUUUGAUAGCUGCAGGCUGAGAAACUGAGAGAGGCAGAUUGUGAGGCGGAGCCACUCGCCAUAUAAGGCUGCAGGAGGUCAGUUACUGCCCAGACAACUGGAGAGAAACAUCUGUGGAGGAUUCUCCAAAAGCUGCAUCGGUGACCUGGCUGACACCUCAGAGAUGCGUAGUUGAGGUGGACACACUUGAGGAUGGCCCUACAAUCAAUGAAAGAACAUUAGUCCUUUUUCAGUAUUUUCUCAUUUACAACUUCAAGCACACAUUGAGAAUGAACUUACCAUAUACUUUGCCAUCCCCAGCUUCAGCAGGAGUGGAGACAGGGGUAGUCCUUUUUUGGCAUUUAGGAGAAGUAUUUGUAAAGUUUGACGCCAAAAAAACACACAUUAUUGUAUAUAAGGCAACAUUGUUUGUAUUUAACAUUCACAUAGGUGAAAAAUUCAACAAAACAAACCUAAUACAUGCUCUCAGUAUAGCACUGUUCCAAAAUGAAUUUGUUUGUAUUGAUUAACACCUUUGCAGAUGUUUUGUUAGUAUUAUUAUACAGUAUUGGUUGCAUAACUCAUGGGUGGUGUUAGUGAACCAAGUUUAAACACCAUAGAAACAUUUUUUUUCAUAAAAACAAAUAAAAAAAAUACUGGGUGCUGUGCAUAUUUUAUUAAUAAAAAUAAAAACAUUUGGAAAAA